This 1107-nucleotide ribosomal RNA is filed under the name Desulfobacterales bacterium. RNAcentral describes it as "partial 23S ribosomal RNA". The stretch from base 506 to 1094 matches the Rfam family "Bacterial large subunit ribosomal RNA", at positions 2046 to 2912 of the family's 2925-position model. Lineage: Bacteria; Pseudomonadati; Thermodesulfobacteriota; Desulfobacteria; Desulfobacterales. The record is from RNAcentral.
ACUAUUAAACCUUCUCUCCUCAGUGGAAACGCUGGGGUAAUAAACAAGCCCAAAACGGGGAAGGCCUUGGGGAUUGCAUAUAAUGCAGGUCCCAGGUAGAAUAAAGUAAUGUCUAUCAACAAGGUUAAUCCCGUGGGAAAGAUGUUUUCUGAAGUUGAGCGAGCAUAUCUUGCCGGAAUAAUUGACGGUGAUGGUGCAAUUAUGGCGUGUCUUGAGAGGCACGCAGAAAAGAAGUAUGGAUUUCGAGUGCGAGUUGUUGUAAAGGCAACGUACUCAAAAGAAGAGUACCCAAAGGAAUGGAAGAAUAUAACUGGUAUUGGGUAUGUCAGGAAGAAUCGAAGAACAUACGAGUGGGAAGUAAAAGAUCAAAAGAAGGCACAAGAACUUCUUAAGGUGUUACUCCCAUAUCUGCGUGUAAAAAAGAGGCAAGCUAACAUUGCGCUGAAGAUUUGUGCAAAGGAGGUCAAAACAAAAAGAGACCUUGUACAUGUAGCUCGUUUGGCAGAUACAUUGUCUGCGUUUAAUCUUCGUUCUAGAGGGCGAAGAAAGAACUAUGCGGCAAUGAUCCAAGAAGAUGUCUCCCGUAACGACUGAUUCUUGUCACUCUAGUGAUAAAAGAUGAGAUAGGGGCAGACCCUCUAUCAUACGGUUUGCACCUAAUGUUUUACUGGUGACAGUAAAACUAUGGUGAAGGUAUAGUCUAACCCCAACAGUAAUGUUGUGAAGGUUAAGAGGUCCCAAGGGUUUGGCUGUUCGCCAAUUAAAGUGGUACGUGAGCUGGGUUUAAAACGUCGUGAGACAGUUUGGUCCCUAUCUUUCGUGGGCGUAGGAUAUUUGAGAGGAUCUGUUCCUAGUACGAGAGGACCGGAACGGACGAACCAAUGGUGUUCCAGUUGUCGCGCCAGCGGCAUUGCUGGGUAGCUAAGUUCGGAAUGGAUAACCGCUGAAAGCAUCUAAGCGGGAAGCCAACCUCGAGAUUAGAUAUCCCUUUCGAUGGAAACAUCGAAACUGAAGACCCCUUGAAGACUACAAGGUUGAUAGGCCAGGUGUGUAAGCAUAGCAAUAUGUUUAGCUAACUGGUACUAAUCGGUCGUGAGGCUUGGCCAC